UCAAGCUACAAAGAGCACAAGGGGAAUGCCUUGGCAUCGGGAGCCGAUGAAGGACGCGACUAACUGCGAUAAGCUACGGGGAGCCGUAAGUAGGCAUUGAUCCGUAGAUUUCCGAAUGGAGCAAUCCGACUAGAGUCAUGUCUAGUCAUCAUAUGCUGAAUAAAAUAGGUAUAUGAGGGGAACCGCCUGAACUGAAACAUCUAAGUAGGGCGAGGAAAAGAAAUCAACCGAGAUUCCGCUAGUAGUGGCGAGCGAACGCGGAAGAGGCCAAACCGAGAGUAGUAAUACUUUCGGGGUUAGGACAGAAAUGUGUACACAGAGGUUUAGCAGAAUUGUAUGGGAAGGCAAACCAAAGAGAGUGAAAGUCUCGUAUGCGAAAAACUGAAGUGGCUAUCUGAAUCCAGAGUACCGCCGGACACGAGGAAUCCGGUGGGAAGACGGGGGGACCAUCCUCCAAGCCUAAAUACUAACCGAUGACCGAUAGAGAAGAGUACCGUGAGGGAAAGGUGAAAAGCACCCCGGGAGGGGAGUGAAAGAGAACCUGAAACCUUGUGCUUACAAGCACCGAGAGCCCGUCAAAGGGUGAUCGGGUACCUAUUGUAGAAUGGUCCGGCGAGUGAAUGUUACUGGCGAGGUUAAGCACUUAAGGUGUGUAGCCAAAGCGAAAGCAAGUCUGAACAGGGCGAUUUUAAGUCAGUAGUAUUCGACCCGAAACCGGGUGACCUACCCAUGUCCAGGUUGAAGUGGAGGUAAAACUCCAUGGAGGACCGAACCGACUCCCGUUGAAAUGGUAGCGGAUGAGGUGUGGGUAGCGGAGAAAUUCCAAUCGAACCCGGAGAUAGCUGGUUCUCUCCGAAAUAGCUUUAGGGCUAGCCUCGGAAUAGAUUACUGGAGGUAAAGCACUGAAUGGGCUAGGGGCCGAGAGGUUACUGAACCCUAUCAAACUAAGAAUGCCAGAUAAUUGUUUUCCGGGAGUCAGACGGCGUGAGAUAAGUUUCGUCGUCAAAAGGGAAAGAGCCCAGACCCACAGCUAAGGUCCCAAAGUAUAGUUAAGUGGAAAAGGAUGUGGGGUUGCCCAGACAACCAGGAUGUUGGCUUAGAAGCAGCCACUCAUUAAAAGAGUGCGUAAUAGCUCACUGGUCGAGUGACCCUGCGCCGAAAAUUCAACGGGGCUAAAUUAUACACCGAAGCUUGGGAUACCGCAAGGUAUGGUAGGAGAGCGUUCUGUAAGGAGUGAAGUGAGAGCGAAAGCGUUCGUGGACUUUACAGAAGUGAGAAUGCCGGAAUGAGUAGCGAGAAAUAUGUGAGAAUCAUAUUGGCCGAAAGUCUAAGGUUUUUGGAGGAAGGUUCGUCCGCUCCAAGUAAGUCGGGAGCUAAGGUGAGGCCUAACGGCGUAGCCGAUGCACAUACGGUAGAUAUUCCGUAACCACCGAAAGAUUUAAACACAGGGACACCUUGAAAGGGCAUAUCCCGGGAGUUGGUUUACCCGGGCGUAAGGGAUCGAAAUUUGAGUAGAGAAGUAUGUUUGGACGAGGGCGAGAAAAGCUGUGCGUAUAUUUUAGGUGCCCGUACCGCAAACCGACACAGGUGGACAGGAAGAGGAUUCUAAGGCCAACGGGAGAAGGGUAAUUAAGGAACUCGGCAAAUUGACCCCGUAACUUAGGGAUAAGGGGUGCUCAUAGGAAUAUGAGCCGCAGAGAAUAGGCCCAGGCAACUGUUUAUCAAAAACACAGGUCUCUGCCAAAUCGAAAGAUGAAGUAUAGGGGCUGACACCUGCCCGGUGCUGGAAGGUUAAGAGGAGGAGUGAGAGCUCCGAAUUGAAGCCCCAGUAAACGGCGGCCGUAACUAUAACGGUCCUAAGGUAGCGAAAUUCCUUGUCGGGUAAGUUCCGACCCGCACGAAUGGUGUAAUGAUCUGGGCACUGUCUCAAUUACCCGCCCGGCGAAAUUGUAGUACCGGUGAAGAUGCCGGUUACCCGCGACAAGACGGAAAGACCCCAUGGAGCUUUACUGCAGCUUGAUAUUGGGUUUCGGUAAUCUAUGUACAGGAUAGGCGGGAGACUAGGAAGUAAAGGCGCCAGCUUUUACGGAGUCGCCCUUGGGAUACCGCUCUUAGAUUGCUGGAAUUCUAACCUGCGGCCAUGAAACUGGUCGGGGAACAUUGUCAGGCGGGCAGUUUGACUGGGGCGGUCGCCUCCUAAAGAGUAACGGAGGCGCUCAAAGGUUGGCUCAGCACGGACGGAAA
Molecule: ribosomal RNA, 2244 nt
Filed under: human gut metagenome
Description: bacterial LSU rRNA
Rfam family: Bacterial large subunit ribosomal RNA
Source: RNAcentral